ACGGGUGAGUAACACGUGGGCAACCUGCCCUUGAGACUGGGAUAACUUCGGGAAACCGGAGCUAAUACCGGAUAAUAUAAGGAACCUCCUGGUUCCUUGUUGAAAGAUGGUUUCGGCUAUCACUUAAGGAUGGGCCCGCGGCGCAUUAGCUAGUUGGUGAGGUAACGGCUCACCAAGGCGACGAUGCGUAGCCGACCUGAGAGGGUGAUCGGCCACACUGGGACUGAGACACGGCCCAGACUCCUACGGGAGGCAGCAGUAGGGAAUCUUCCACAAUGGACGAAAGUCUGAUGGAGCAACGCCGCGUGAGUGAUGAAGGCCUUCGGGUCGUAAAGCUCUGUUGUUAGGGAAGAACAAGUGCGAGAGUAACUGCUCGCACCUUGGCGGUACCUAACCAGAAAGCCACGGCUAACUACGUGCCAGCAGCCGCGGUAAUACGUAGGUGGCAAGCGUUAUCCGGAAUUAUUGGGCGUAAAGCGCGCGCAGGUGGUUUCUUAAGUCUGAUGUGAAAGCCCACGGCUCAACCGUGGAGGGUCAUUGGAAACUGGGGAACUUGAGUGCAGAAGAGGAAAGUGGAAUUC
RNAcentral lists this ribosomal RNA (581 nucleotides) under uncultured bacterium. Its description in RNAcentral is "bacterial SSU rRNA". It matches the Rfam family "Bacterial small subunit ribosomal RNA", at positions 102 to 669 of the family's 1533-position model. The record is from RNAcentral.